Molecule: long non-coding RNA, 12166 nt
Filed under: Ananas comosus (pineapple)
Lineage: Eukaryota; Viridiplantae; Streptophyta; Magnoliopsida; Poales; Bromeliaceae
Description: long non-coding RNA (ACOM_LNC037652)
Source: RNAcentral
UGUCACGCCCUGGGACCCAACAGAAGCCCGCCCGGUGCGUGUCCAGACCCGUCAUAUGCCUACACAUAUAAGGCGUUUAGAGCAAUAGUAUACGAAAGCAAGGAAACAAAACAUCUAGAGAUAUUAGAGCAUAAAUAAAGCUAGAAUCUAACCACGAGAAAUAAGUAACUAGACUAGAAGAUCAUCAUUCCCAAAGUUAGAUAAAUACAUCAAGAACCAUAAAUAGCACUAGAUACAUAAGGUGGUAGUCUCUACAAAAGGGGUACAAAACUCUCAUUCUCUCCAACCAAAACAAAAGGAGAAAAUGAACCACCUAAAGCAAGACUCCUCGCUAGCUAUCACGAAGCGACACCCUUGCCGCGGUCCCAAGUCUCUCCCGGCAUGGAAGGCUCUGAAAUAAACAACAAACAGAGGGCGUGAGAACUAUUAAACAAUAGUUCCCAGUGGGCAAACCGCUGACCUCAGGAAAAAUACUCCACUACGCUAAAGAGGUAUACGAACUAUAAUAAACAACAUAUAAGGAAAUACAACAAUUAAUUUCGCUAAGUUAGGAUGUCGCAAAUUUAGCAUGAUAUGAACAUGAAAAGUUGCUAAUCUAUCAUAAUCGAUUAUAUCCAAGGAUACACUAGUAUGUUCUAAACAUGAUCAUCAUAAUUGUAAAUAUGCACCAAGUAUAGUCCAUCAAUAUACCACUAAGUCCAACUAGUGUAAUAAUAUGCCCAAACAAUACCUACUAUCAAGUAGUGAAUGUCACUUAGUUGUUACAUUGUCAUAUUCCAUUUCCAAUCUAGGACUUACACAAGUGUAGUCCAGCUUGUGCCGCUUAAUGGCCCCGGGUAGUCCAGCAUUUCUCUAGGAAUGUGACUGUCCCACGGUGACCCAGUAGGCCCUCAAUCCCGCACGGGCGAGCAUAAGUCGCGUAGGCCAACUCCGAAGUGCCGGCUUGUAGGGAGCGACCCUCACAAGCAUGUGCGAAUGAGCACAAAUGGCAAGCAAGCGUAAUCAUGAACUCAAGUACUCUGUCAUCAUGUCACAACAUGGUAUAACACUAGCAUCCCUAAAGGUCUAGUUCUAUGUCAUGAGGUAAAGGAUCAACCAUUUACUAUCUAAUGCCACUUUAUGACAUUAUAAAUUUACCAAGCCCAAACAUAUUCCAAGCUCAAUGCCCCUUUAUGACAUUGUAGCUCACUAAGUCCAUGCAUACCCCAAGUACAAUGCCACUUUAUGGCAUUAUAAUUCUACUAUAUUUAACAUAUGUCCAUUGUUCAUGAGCAACUAAUUGCAUGUCAUUCAUCUACAUAUAACAUGGUUCCAACACAUCAUGAGGAUUUUAUAUACUAGCAUGAGCAUUUUGCACCUAUUUCUCUACUACAUAGAGACGAAAUCUCAUGAUACAUAACAUAUGCAUUUUAAUCGUUCUAAAAUUCAUUUGUGCCCUAUCUAGUAUGAAUAUGCAUGAAUUUCUAUUUUACGACAAAAAAUAAAGUAUAGGGGGAGUUCACCCAUUUCGGUGAGGUCAAAUCCACCAAGAGCUCCUUGCAACUCUUUCGUUUGCGCGAACGAAGGUGUCCACGAGUCUUCUAGCUUCCUGAAGUAAUUUCUAAGAGAGUUAGACAAAGCAAACGAACACCCGAAGUGUUCAUCUCAAAUCAACCAAAGCAUAGGGCAAAACUCACCUAAAUGUGGAAAAAUCCUCUCAAAUUCCAAAUGGAAGCUAGAGCCCUUCAAAUCUACCCCAACGAGAUAUUCUACGCCUAUCAAAUAAGCACCAAGAGCUACAAAUCAAAAAUCCCCAAAAUAAAUCCUAGUUUUCUCAUUCUAGGGUUUCAACAUGAAAAAUCGACAAAAACAUGGAUUAAAUGAGGGAAACAUGAUACUAACCUCUUUAGAAGCUCCAAACAAGGUUAGAAAUCAACUAGGGUUGAAGAUCUCUCCUCCAACAAGCUUCAAUCCAAGCUCCAAGACUUCUCUCAUGGUGAAAAUAGCACCAAGAAGCAAAAAGAAGCAAAAGGAGAUGAUUAAACUUCAAAAGUUCCAACUAAAAUGGAAGAAAUCCAAAGAGGAGGUGAGGAGGGCUCCCUUACCUUUCUCUUCUGUGUUGCCAAGCUCAGGGAACCUCCAAGGGGCGUGGGGUAACAUAUAGUGUUGCUACAAAUGCAAAAACACCCCUAAAAAAAUGAGCAGUUCGCAGUCUGCACUGCGUACCGGUACACGGAAAAGAGUACUGGUACCAAGCAGUAGUUUGCGCCAACCCGAGCCUCGGGUUCGUAGAAAAAUACACUGGGUACCGGUACCAGCCCGAUGCUAUACCGGUACCACCUCCAAUUCAGGUACGGGCCCGAUGCUGUACCGGUACAGCUCUACAGAGUCCAACCCGAGAGCAGCCUAAAUAUUCAUUUUAGAGAUUUUAGUACUAAGUUGUAAACCUUGAUUCUCGGGAUGCGAGCCAUAGGUCGGAACACUGUCAACGACCCUCUAGAAUAUCUGAAAAAACUCGAAAUACAGAUUAAACACUCGAACCUUACAAUUUGCUAAAUUUCAGUGUGUUACAGGCCAAGUUCGCCUUCAGGUCCAGAAGAACCUUAAGCUCCACCACACUGUUGGGGUUGUAAGUCAUGGACAGAAUGGCACUAUGAGGGUGGAGACCAAGGAUCGCUGGGGGUUAGGUUGAAUGGCCCCACCCGAAAAAGAAAAGUUUUAGGAACUAGAGACCAAAACACAUAGAGCCGCACUAAUGAGGAAGUUGUCAGCUUGAGGAGUCCUCAAGAGUUGGAUAGUUUCGUAAAUCCAAACUUUGCGCCACAGAUUGGCGUAAGAACCCUCGACUCGGUCCAGCCAUGCUAGAUAUGUGUCAAAAACUUGGGCCAUGUAUGAAGGCUCUUUACCGACGACUUCAAUGCAGAUUAGGAAUGAAGGUAAAUAUAUAACAUCAUUCGUCAAGGAAAGCCUUCCCAUAGAGAAGGGAAAGACUUUGUCCUCAGUAGCCCUACAAAGAAAAGGCCGAGGAUGAAACAAGAAGGAUCGACCUUAAAUGGCUUAAGAAUACUAAAGCUAACAUUAGAAGAUGAGAGAAGAAGAGAAAUCCGAGCCAUUGAAAGGAAAAUAUCCUGGGAGAAGUGAAGAAGGAGAGUCGAAGAGGAGAAAUCGCGAAAAAAAAAGGAGAAAGGAGGUGUUGGAGUGUAACGCACUGGACCUUGCAAAUUGCGGGUUUCGAGUGAUUGAUUGUGUUCUGAGCUUUUCCAGACUUUCUGGUGGGUCGUUGACAGUAUUCCGACCUAUGGUUCGAGUCCCGAGAUGUCACGCCCGGGGGCUCAGCGGAAGCCUACCUGGCGAGUGUCCAGACCCGCCAUACGUCUAAAACAUAUAAGGCGUCUACAAAAAUUUCGAUAGAUAAAACAGUAAUACAAGAGAUCUAGUGAUAUCAGAGGAUUGUAUAACUAGUUCUAUAACAAGGAAAGGACACAAAGCUGAAAGUCCACUAAAUAAAAACAUAAAGUAAGUACAAUAGAGAUCCCAUAACAAGUGCUAAAAGGAGUACAAGGUGGUCUCUCUAUACAUGGUACAAAACCCCUCCCACUCUCACAAAAUAUAAAAUGAAGGGGUAACCACCUAGCGCAAAAGAACUCUCCGCGAGCUAGCUACGCGACACCCUUGCCGCGAUCCCGUGCCUCCGCCGGUGCCGAAGGCUCUGAAAAGGAAACAUAGAAACAGGGGCGUGAGAACUAUUAAAAAUAGUUCUCAGUGGGCAAUUACUGACUUCAGUGAAAUGCACCACUAGGCCCGAAACUAAAGAAAAAGGGUCAGUGUACAAACAACAAAAGCGAUAAAUACACUGUAAGUAAAUAAAUAAACGACUACCCAAUAGUUAUGAUACCUCUACUUAGCAUAAUUUACAUAAGUAAGGAAGCAACUACUAGCUAUAUGCACAUGAACACCGAACAUAUAAAGCAUGAUUAUGCAACUACCCAAAGCCCACAAUGUAAUAGUAAAGAUGUCAUUGUUUAUUAUUCUAGUCCAAGUCCACUUUAACAGUUAUAAGGUUCACAUAGCAUAUUCUGUCACCAAGUCCCAAUCAUAUAAGACCCACCCGAAGGCUGUCUGGCCUGCGCCGUGCCUAAUGGCCCCGUGGUAGUCAACAUCCCCACUCUAGGGAUGAGCCUCCCCCACGGCAAUCCACUUUGGCGCCCAAUCCUGCACGGGCGAGCAUAUGUCGCGAUGGCUAUCUCCGGAGUGCCGGCUUGUAGGGAGCGUCCCUCACAAGCAUGUGCGAAUGAGCACAAUGGCAAGCAAGCAAUGAUCCGUCUCAAGAACCAAGUCCUCAUGUCUAACAACAUGGAAUAUAUCAAGUAUCUCAAUAGCCUAUCUCUAUGUUAUCAUGUCUCUAACAUGGAAUGUAGCAGAUAUGUAGUGGCCUAUCAAUAUGUCUCUAUAUUGCAGUUUAAUAGUUUACUAGUUUCAAGUGCCCCUUGAUGACACUUUUGUUCAACAAGUUCCAAGCAUGGUAUUAAUAUGUUCAUGAUGCAUAAUUCACUCAACUCUAGCAUGGGGACAUGUUCUCAACUUGCAAAACCAAGCACUAUCCAUAAUGCAUGCAAUUUACACAUAUAGCUCUACUAUAUGGAGUACAAAUUUUACGAUAUAUGAGGCAUGCAUGUUAAGUGUUCUAAAAUUCACAUAAAUCAUAUUUAGCAUGAAUUUGCAUUCAAAAAUACUUUACGAAAGGUUUAGAAGGCAUAGGGGCCAUUUUGCCCUAUUUUCAUGAAGUCAAACCCACCGAUGACAACGAAACUCCUCGUUCGCUCCCACGAGGGUAUCCUCUAGUCUCCUAGUACCCUAGAGAUAUAGAAACAUGUGUCAUGUGAGCCAAACGAACAAUACCUAGCUCGAUCAUUAAGCUAAUCAAGCAUAGGUGAGGAAAACUCACCUCUAGUGCAAAAAUCUCCUCUAAAGCUCCAAAAGAGAGCUAGAGCCCUUCCCAACCAAAUGGAAGCCUCUAAUCCUCUCAAACUAGCUUCAAAAGCCCUAGAUUCAAAAUGCCCAAUUAAACCCUAAAAACCUCAUUCUAGGGUUUCAACACAAAGAAGCCAAUAAAAAUCUAAUCUAGAGGGAGAUAACAAGUUGCUUACCUCUUAGAAGCUUCAAACCAAGCUCUAAAUGCUCUAUGUCCAAAGAACUCACCUCAAACAAGCCUCAAACCCAAGCUCCUAGCUCCAACAUUGGGGGAGAAGUCUCUAGCCAAGCAAAAAGGGAGUUUAAUCUCUUAAAACCCCAACCAAAAUCAAAGAAAUCACAAAGGAAGGUGUGGAGGGCUUCCUCACCUUUCUCCCUGCAGGUUCCAAGCUCAGGGGAUGCCCUAGGGGUGUGGGGUUACUAAUAGAAGGCUACAAACGCGAAAAACCCCCUGCAGUUCCAUUCUGCGCAAAACUGCCUCCUUGUACCGGUACACGGGCUCUUGUACCGGUACAAGGCGACGAAAUUGCAAACUCGAGGCUCGGGUUGCGGGGUCUGCGGCUCUGUACCGGUACAAGCCCGAUGGCUGUACCGGUACAACCAUCAACCUUGUACCGGUAUAAGACCAGCCUUGUUCCGGUACAAGCUCUGCUGCAGGCUAACCCGAGAGCUGUCCAAUGAAUCCAAUUUUUGGAUUUUGGUACCAAGCUUUAAACCACAAUUCUCGGGACUCGAACCAUAGGUCGGAACACUGUCAACGACCGACCAGAAAGUCUAGAAAAGUUCAGAACACCGUCAAUAACUCGAACCCCACAAUUUGCGAGGUCCAGUGCGUCACACGAGAAUUGUGGUUUAAAGCUGUGUACCAAAAUCUAAAAAGUUGGAUUUUUGGUUAGCCCUCGGGUAGCCUUCAGCAGGCUGUGUACCGGUACGGGCUUGGUGGCUGUACCGGUACGGGGUUGAUGGCUGUACCGGUACGGGCCCGCGUACUGGUAAACAGACGGCUUUUCGUCCAAACCCGAGGCUCGGGUUUGCGUUUUCGUGGGUGGUAUACCGGUACACAAUCCCGUGUACCGGUACACAGUGCAGAUUGGGGCUGUUUCGUGGAGGGGUGUUUUUGCAAUUGUUGCAACACCUAUAUAAGUGACCCCAGCCCCCUUAGGCUGGGUUUUGAGCCCUAGUUCUGUGGAGACAAGGUGAGACUCUCCCCCUUUGAGUUUUCUCUCCAUUUUUGAUGGAUUUUGGUAGGUUUUGAUCUCUCCUCUCCUCUCCACCUUGCUUUUUGUUGCGUUUCCUCCAUUGUUGAAGGCUUGGAGCUUGGAGAGGAGCUUGUUUGAGAGGAGAUCUUCAACUCCACUUGGCAUGGAGCUUGGUUUGGGACAUCUUGUGAGGUGAGUACUCAUGAUCUCUCCUUUAGAGCUUGUUUUGGUAGUUUUCCUCUUUGGAAACCCUAGAUUUUGGAUUCAAGGGCUAGGAUUAGGGAUUUUUGAUUUGAGGGCUUUGGAACCAAAUUGAUGGGUUUAGAACCUUUGUUUAUGUUUGAUUGGAAGGACUCUAGCUCCCAUUUGGAGAUUGAGGGAGCUUCCUUCGCAAUCGGUGAGUUUUCUUCAACCCUAGCCCGAUUUGGUUAAUGAUUGAGCAAUCCGUUGUUCGUUUCGUUUGGGUAACACUUGUUCCUACAUCCUUAGGGUACUAGGAGGCUAGUGGACACUUUCGUUCGGCGAAACGAAAAGUUCGAAAAAUCAGUAGGUUUGACUUCGUGGAAAAAGGGGCAAAAUGGCCCCUAUGCUCUCUAUACUUGUUGUAAAGUAUUUUUAAAUGCAUUUCUAUGCUAAUUGGAAUUUAUGUGAAGUUUAGAACACUUAAAAUGCAUGUCUUAUGUGUAAGUUAAAUUUCACUCUAUAUAGUAGAGUAAUCAGGGUUAUUUGCAUGCAUGUGAGGGGUGUUCAGGUGGACGAACGGGAUUCUCGUCUAGUAUACUAAUUUAGCUCAUACUCGUGUAUUGAAAACAUUAUACUAUGUUUGGACUUAGUAGCACAAGUGUCAUCAAGAGGCACUUAAACUAGUAAACUAUGAAACUGCAACAUAGAGACAUAACGCUAGGCCAUUGUACAUCUGCUAUAUUCCAUGUUAGAGACAUGAUGUCAUAGAGAUAGGCCUUUGGGACAUUCGAUACAUUCCAUGUUAUUAGACAUGAGGACUUGAUACUUAUGACAGGACAUAUGACUACUUGCCAUUGUGCUCAUUCGCACAUGCUUGUGAGGGUCGCUCCCUACAAGCCGGCACUCCGGAGAUAGCCAUCGCGAUUCGUAUUCGCCGUGCGGGAUUGGGCGCCGAAAUGGAUUGCCGUGGGCCAGGCUCAUUCCUAGGGUGGGGAUGAUGACUACCACGGGGCCAUUAGGCUCGGCAUCGGCCAGACAGCCUACGGGUGGGUCUCAGGGCCAUAGACAGCCUUCGGGUGGAUCUCUUCAGAAUUGACUUUGAGUGUUCACUACGACAUGUGGACGGAUGAUGACUUAGUAUAUGGACUAGAACAGUAAACAAAGACAUCUUCACUAUUUACUUGAGGACAUUGUAUGGGUUGCAUAUUUAUGCUUAUUUAUGUUAUACACAUCCAUGUACAUUCAUGUUAUAGUUGAUUUAUUACUUAUGCAAAUCAUGCUAAGUAGAGACAUUAUGCUAUAAUGAGUUACAUUUUUACUUACCUUCUUCCUUACUACAUUCUGUCACUGACCACUUUCCUUGUAGCUUUGGGCCUUGUGGUGCAUUCACUGAAGUCAGUAAUUGCCCACUGGGAACUAUUUUUAAUAGUUCUCACGCCCUCUUUUCGUGGUUUCUUUCAGAGCCUUCUGCAUCGGCGGAGGCACGGGAUCGCGGCAAGGGGAUCGCAUAGCUAGCUAGCGAGGAGCGGUUAUUUGCCUAGGUGGUUACUCUUUCUUUUUAUAGUUGUGAGAGUGAGAGUUUUUGUAUCCAUGUAUAGAGACCACCUAUGUAUCUACUCUUAGCACUUGUAUUUGGGAUUUUCUUUGUAUUACUUUAUGCUUUUAUUAGUGGAUUACAGCUUGUGUUCCUUUCUCUAUUGUAGAACUUAACAUUAUAUCAUGCUCUGAUACUCCUAGAUGUCUUUUAAUUCUGCUUUUAUUAUCGUUGCUUUUAGACGCCUUAUAUGUUUUAGACAUAUGGCGGGUCUGGGCACGUGCCGGGCGGGCUUCCGCUGGGUCCCGGGGCGUGACAGAUUAAUUUGGUAUCAGAGCCUAGGGUUGAGUCUUAGGGGACCUAGGAAAUCUUAGGCCGGUUGGACUAUAGGAAAUAGGCUCGUGAGAGACGAGGUCUAUUUGAUUUGCGAAGCAAAAGUACCAUGAUUGGGUAUCUUGAUAACUCUAAAAAGUUAGAGUUGGAUCGAAGUGUAUGGCUUCUAACUUCGCGCAGGGUUACGUUGGCGGCCGACAACGUAACUUCGGGAGUUAGUAGUGUAGAACACUUCUUUACUUUCGCAGGAUUUGGGUAUUGUUUAUUGAGCGGGGAUGCGAUAGCGCGGGUUUUACUAACUUGCGCUUUCAUGUUUUGUAGUGACGAUGCCGAUUACACGCUCUCAAUCUGCCGUAGCGGACAAUGCGGCGAACUUUGAGGAGGUCGAGACCUCCGCUACCUCCGGAUCCAGCGAGGUCCGUGAGUUGAGGGGCCAGCUUGCGGCCCUCACUGAUUUACUCACUCAGCAGGCGGAGGCGGCCCGACAGCAGACUGAGGCGCCGCGCCGACAGGAGGCGCGGAUGAAGCGCCUGGAGGACCUUUUACUGCAACAGGCAGUAGCUUCUAGGGAGACUCUGGCCCCUACACCGCCAGCACCAGUUGUGGACGUCGCACCGAGAGCGCCGUCCUCCGCGCCCAGUUCUUCGCGUGCAGCGCCUGCGGCCGCGCCCCGGGAGGAGGUUUUGGCGCCACCACCUGUGCAGAGGCCCCUGGUUGGAGCUGCAUUCCCUACCUUGGUUGAGGGGGCGGAGCGAGACAGACUGAUGGAGCGCCUCAAUGAGUUCAGGAGGUGCAGUCCCCGAGUCUUCGACGGCGAGAAGGUCGACCACUGGAUCGUGGAGAAGUGGUUGAUGCAUACGGAGAAGCUCUUCCGCGACACCUUCGUGGAGGAGAGGGAUCGAGUUUGGCUCGCCACUCACCACUUGGACGGCGAGGCCUACCGCUGUUGGUUGGAUCUUCAGGAGUACCCCAGCACUGACUUGGCGGCUAUCACUUGGACGAGGUUCAAGGAGCUUCUUUUGGCCCAUUACUUUUCGACCAACGUCAAGCGAAAGAUGGAGCAAGAUCUGCGCAACUUGCGCCAGGGCGACCAGACUGUGGCCGAGUACGAGCGGGAGUUUUCUCGGCUUUUGCAUUGCGUGCCUUUCGUCGUGCGGGACGACGAGGACAAGGCCCGCAUUUUCGAGCGAGGACUGAGGCCGUCCAUCUUUCGGUUCGUGCAAUCCUCUAACCUCCAAACCUACCGGGAGGUGGUGGAUCGCGCGCUCAUUGUAGAGAGCGGCGCGGCGGAUGUCCAGGAGCAGCGAGAGGCUAGGGACAGGGGCAAGGCCAAGAGGCCUGCGGCUGAGGGUGUGAGCCAGACGCACUCUAGGAGGCCACCGAAACUUCCGAGGAGCCAGCAGCGUGGAUGCGGCUCAGCAGCGCAUCGAGGAGGAUCCGAUCGUCGCCGGCCUUCCCCGUGUGUGAUCUGCGGUGGUCCUCAUUACCCGCCGCAGUGUCCAUAGUGGGCGGGCAGGUGCUUCCUGUGUGGCUAGGAGGGCCACGUCUGUACUGAGUGCCCGAGAGGUUCUUCACCGGCACCGUCGACUGCAUCGGCACCGGCUCUACCAGCCGUCAACCACGGGACUCCGUCGACACAGUACCAGCCUGGGCGGCCACCCGUCGAGCGCCAGAGCGAGGGAUCCCGAUAGGCCCCGAGUGGGCGCAUGUACGCCGCUCAGACCAAGGAGGCGGCAGCAGCCGAGGAUGUGGUUGCAGGUAUCAUUUUACUUGAUAGCAUUAGAGUUUGUGCUUUAUUUGAUACCGGUGCAUCGCAUUCAUUUAUAGAUCGGCUGUUUGCUGAGUUGCAUGACAUUCCAUUGGUUUCUUAAUUGCAUCCGGGACACUUUGUUGUACCCGACCAUAUUUUGGAUAUUAGAGAGUAUACCCCCAGUUGCCCUGUUCGGGUGGGAGAUUUGAUCAUACCUGUAGAUUUGCUAGCUUUGCGCAAGCUUGGGGAUUUUGAUGUGGUCUUGGGAAUGGAUUGGUUAACCAAGUAUUAUGCCACGAUUGAUUGCAAAAAUCGCACGGUUACUUUUAGAGAACCGGGGCAGACCGAGGUAGUAUUUAGUGGAUGCCGGAGUUCGCUGUUUGCGAUGACGAUCAGCUCGUCUCGAGCUAGGCAGUUGAUCAGCAGAGGUUGUGUAGCCUAUUUGGCUAGUGUUGUGCUGAGGGGCGAGGAUGACACCCCUAGGAUCGAGGAUAUUCCUGUGGUGCGGGAGUUCCAGGAUGUGUUACCAGCUGAGCUACCGGGCAUGCCUCCUGAUAGGGAGAUUGAGUUUGUGGUAGAUCUCGUCCCUGGGACUACCCCAAUCUCAAAGGCACCCUAUAAGAUGGCACCGGCAGAGCUGAGGGAGCUGAGGGCAUAGCUGCAGGAUUUGUUGGACAAAGGCUUCAUACGGCCGAGCGUUUCGCCUUGGGGAGCACCAGUUUUGUUCGUCAAGAAGAAUGACAGAUCACUUCGCCUUUCGUGGAUUAUCGUGAACUGAAUAAGGUCACGAUCAAGAACAAGUAUCCGUUGCCGAGGAUCGACGACUUGUUUGAUCAGCUUCAGGGAUCGUGUGUGUAUUCCAAGAUAGACUUGCAGUCGGGAUACCACCAAUUGAGAAUCAAGCCCGAGGAUGUAUCGAAGACGGCUUUUAGAACACGGUAUGGACAUUACGAGUUCACAGUUAUGCCGUUUGGGCUGACUAAUGGCCCGGCAGCUUUUAUGGAUCUAAUGAACCAUGUUUUCAAGCCUUAUCACGACAGGUUCAUCGUGGUAUUCAUCGACGACAUUUUGGUCUAUUUCCGAAGUGAUGCAGAUCACGAGGAGCAUUUGAGGCUUGUACUCCAAGUACUUCGGGGAAAGGAGCUUUUUGCCAAGCUGAAAAAGUGUGAAUUUUGGCUUCGAGAGGUAGCCUUCCUUAGAUAUUUGAUAUCGGGAUCAGGUAUUGCUGUGGAUCCCAAGAAGAUUGAGGCUAUCCGGGAUUGACCGAGACCGACUAGCGUCACGGAGAUUCGGAGUUUUCUUGGACUGGCCGGCUACUACCGGAGAUUUGUCGAGGGGUUUGCUAAGUUAUCUACUCCCCUCACGAGGCUCACGCAUAAAGGAGUCAAGUUCAUUUGGAAUGAUGCGUGUGAGAGAAGCUUCCAAGAGUUGAAGCAACGUUUGACGACUGCCCCGAUCUUGACCUUACCAGUAGCUGGAGCAGGGUAUGUGGUAUAUAGUGAUGCUUCACUUAAUGGUUUGGGAUGUGUGUUGAUGCAGGAUGGCAGGUGAUCGCGUAUGCUUCUCGCCAACUGAAGGAAUAUGAAAGGAACUACCCGACGCAUGAUUUGGAGCUGGCAGCCGUAGUGUUCUGUCACGACCCGGGACCCAGCGGAAGCCCGCCCGGCGCGUGCCCAGACCCGCCAUAUGUCUUCAACAUAUAAGGCGUCUAAAAACAACAAUAAUAAAAGCAAUAAUAAAAGACAUCUAGGAGUAUCAGAGCAUAAUAAAUGUCUAAAUGCUACAACAAAGGAUGAGGAAAAGCUGUAAAUCCACUAAAUAAGGCAUAAAGUAAAUACAAUAGGAAAUCCCAAAUACAAGUGCUAAGAGUAGAUACAUAGGUGGUCUCUAUACAGGGUACAAAACUCUCACUCUCUCAACUACAAAAGAAAGAGUAAACCACCUAGGCAAGUAAGCUCCUCGCUAGCUAGCUACGCGAUCCCCUUGCCGCGAUCCCGUGCCUCCGCCGGUGCCGAAGGCUCUGAAAAGGAAACCAUAAAACAGGGGCGUGAGAACUAUCAAAAAUAGUUCCCAGUGGGCAAUUACUGACUUCAGUGAAUGCACCACAAGGCCCAAAGCUACAAAAGAGGUUAGUGACUAUAGAUGUAGAAAAGCGAAAGGUAAGUAAAAUGUAACUUACUACAACAUGAUAUCUCUACUUAGCCUAAAUAGCAUAAG